CUGGUUCAACUAGGUUGUGCAUGUUCAAUCGAUUCACUAUUGUAAAAACAUGAUACGGAGAAGCGGACCUUUUGUACACAAACAAGGUACCUUCUAUGUCAGUCUUCUCCCACUCGUUAGCCUUCGGGCUGAAGCUGUAGAGCGCUACCUGCCCGGUCACGUCGGCAAUACUGGUGAUGUACGGGUCGUGCUGCUUAAGGGCCGCCAAGCUGAUCUCCUGCCCCGCUCUGCUCGCGGCCUCCAU
RNAcentral lists this long non-coding RNA (244 nucleotides) under Gallus gallus (chicken). Lineage: Eukaryota; Metazoa; Chordata; Aves; Galliformes; Phasianidae. The record is from RNAcentral.